Molecule: small RNA, 144 nt
Filed under: Domibacillus iocasae
Lineage: Bacteria; Bacillati; Bacillota; Bacilli; Caryophanales; Bacillaceae
Description: c-di-AMP sequence
Rfam family: c-di-AMP riboswitch aptamer (ydaO/yuaA leader)
About the family: This family represents a conserved RNA structure found upstream of the ydaO and yuaA genes in Bacillus subtilis and related genes in other bacteria. The ydaO/yuaA element is thought to act as a genetic "off" switch for the ydaO and yuaA genes in its native state. It is believed that the element may be triggered during osmotic shock leading to activation of ydaO, a predicted amino acid transporter gene, and members of the yuaA-yubG operon which code for KtrA and KtrB K+ transporters.
Source: Rfam by way of RNAcentral
UAUAUACCUCGGCCUAGUCCCGUCAGCGGGAACGGAGGAACCAAUUUUUUGGGGCUAAUUCUACAGUUUAAGUAGAAAGGAUGAGAGCAACUCUUUCGCCAUCCUGCCCGUCAGCUAACUUCGUCGGCUAAAGCGAAGGAGGUC